Molecule: small nuclear RNA, 82 nt
Organism: Vulpes vulpes (red fox)
Lineage: Eukaryota; Metazoa; Chordata; Mammalia; Carnivora; Canidae
Source: Ensembl
CCCUGUGUUAAUGAUACAGAGAAGAUUAGUAUGGCCCCUGCACAAGGAUGACAUGUAAAUUUGUGAAGUGUUCCAUAUUUUU